GUUAAGCGACUAAGCGUACACGGUGGAUGCCCUGGCAGUCAGAGGCGAUGAAGGACGUGCUAAUCUGCGAUAAGCGUCGGUAAGGUGAUAUGAACCGUUAUAACCGGCGAUUUCCGAAUGGGGAAACCCAGUGUGUUUCGACACACUAUCAUUAACUGAAUCCAUAGGUUAAUGAGGCGAACCGGGGGAACUGAAACAUCUAAGUACCCCGAGGAAAAGAAAUCAACCGAGAUUCCCCCAGUAGCGGCGAGCGAACGGGGAGCAGCCCAGAGCCUGAAUCAGUGUGUGUGUUAGUGGAAGCGUCUGGAAAGGCGCGCGAUACAGGGUGACAGCCCCGUACACAAAAAUGCACAUGCUGUGAGCUCGAUGAGUAGGGCGGGACACGUGGUAUCCUGUCUGAAUAUGGGGGGACCAUCCUCCAAGGCUAAAUACUCCUGACUGACCGAUAGUGAACCAGUACCGUGAGGGAAAGGCGAAAAGAACCCCGGCGAGGGGAGUGAAAAAGAACCUGAAACCGUGUACGUACAAGCAGUGGGAGCACGCUUAGGCGUGUGACUGCGUACCUUUUGUAUAAUGGGUCAGCGACUUAUAUUCUGUAGCAAGGUUAACCGAAUAGGGGAGCCGAAGGGAAACCGAGUCUUAACUGGGCGUUAAGUUGCAGGGUAUAGACCCGAAACCCGGUGAUCUAGCCAUGGGCAGGUUGAAGGUUGGGUAACACUAACUGGAGGACCGAACCGACUAAUGUUGAAAAAUUAGCGGAUGACUUGUGGCUGGGGGUGAAAGGCCAAUCAAACCGGGAGAUAGCUGGUUCUCCCCGAAAGCUAUUUAGGUAGCGCCUCGUGAAUUCAUCUCCGGGGGUAGAGCACUGUUUCGGCAAGGGGGUCAUCCCGACUUACCAACCCGAUGCAAACUGCGAAUACCGGAGAAUGUUAUCACGGGAGACACACGGCGGGUGCUAACGUCCGUCGUGAAGAGGGAAACAACCCAGACCGCCAGCUAAGGUCCCAAAGUCAUGGUUAAGUGGGAAACGAUGUGGGAAGGCCCAGACAGCCAGGAUGUUGGCUUAGAAGCAGCCAUCAUUUAAAGAAAGCGUAAUAGCUCACUGGUCGAGUCGGCCUGCGCGGAAGAUGUAACGGGGCUAAACCAUGCACCGAAGCUGCGGCAGCGACGCUGAUGCGUUGUUGGGUAGGGGAGCGUUCUGUAAGCCUGCGAAGGUGUGCUGUGAGGCAUGCUGGAGGUAUCAGAAGUGCGAAUGCUGACAUAAGUAACGAUAAAGCGGGUGAAAAGCCCGCUCGCCGGAAGACCAAGGGUUCCUGUCCAACGUUAAUCGGGGCAGGGUGAGUCGACCCCUAAGGCGAGGCCGAAAGGCGUAGUCGAUGGGAAACAGGUUAAUAUUCCUGUACUUGGUGUUACUGCGAAGGGGGGACGGAGAAGGCUAUGUUGGCCGGGCGACGGUUGUCCCGGUUUAAGCGUGUAGGCUGGUUUUCCAGGCAAAUCCGGAAAAUCAAGGCUGAGGCGUGAUGACGAGGCACUACGGUGCUGAAGCAACAAAUGCCCUGCUUCCAGGAAAAGCCUCUAAGCAUCAGGUAACAUCAAAUCGUACCCCAAACCGACACAGGUGGUCAGGUAGAGAAUACCAAGGCGCUUGAGAGAACUCGGGUGAAGGAACUAGGCAAAAUGGUGCCGUAACUUC
RNAcentral lists this ribosomal RNA (1693 nucleotides) under Escherichia coli. RNAcentral describes it as "partial 23S ribosomal RNA". It matches the Rfam family "Bacterial large subunit ribosomal RNA", at positions 1 to 1737 of the family's 2925-position model. The record is from RNAcentral. Lineage: Bacteria; Pseudomonadati; Pseudomonadota; Gammaproteobacteria; Enterobacterales; Enterobacteriaceae.